This 406-nucleotide ribosomal RNA is filed under the name uncultured bacterium. Its description in RNAcentral is "partial 16S ribosomal RNA". It matches the Rfam family "Bacterial small subunit ribosomal RNA", at positions 30 to 526 of the family's 1533-position model. The record is from RNAcentral.
AUUGAACGCUGGCGGCAGGCCUAACACAUGCAAGUCGAACGAGUGGCGGACGGGUGAGUAAUGUCUGGGAAACUGCCCGUUGGAGGGGGAUAACUCCUGGAAACGGUAGCUAAUACCGCAUACCCUCGGAUGUGCCCACAUGGGGUUAGCUCGUAGGUGGGGUAACGGCUCACCUCGGCGACGAUCCCUAGCUGGUCUGAGAGGAUGACCAGCCACACUGGAACUGAGACACGGUCCAGACUCCUACGGGAGGCAGCAGUGGGGAAUAUUGCACAAUGGGCGCAAGCCUGAUGCAGCCAUGCCGCGUGUAUGAAGAAGGCCUUCGGGUUGUAAAGUACUUUCAGCGGGGAGGCGUUACCCGCAGAAGAAGCACCGGCUAACUCCGUGCCAGCAGCCGCGGUAAUAC